UACGGAGGGAGCUAGCGUUGUUCGGAAUUACUGGGCGUAAAGCGCACGUAGGCGGCUAUUCAAGUCGGGGGUGAAAGCCCGGGGCUCAACCCCGGAACUGCCCUCGAAACUAGAUAGCUAGAAUCUUGGAGAGGCGAGUGGAAUUCCGAGUGUAGAGGUGAAAUUCGUAGAGAUCAGGAAGAACACCCGUGGCGAAGGCGGCUCUCUGGGACGGUACUGACGCUGAGGAGCGAAAGCCAGGGGAGCAAACGGG
RNAcentral lists this ribosomal RNA (253 nucleotides) under uncultured bacterium. RNAcentral's name for it is "partial 16S ribosomal RNA". It matches the Rfam family "Bacterial small subunit ribosomal RNA", at positions 524 to 776 of the family's 1533-position model. The record is from RNAcentral.